UGAGGCUGAAGUACAUGAUUCCAUGCUUCCAAGAAAAGCAUCUAGAGAGAGAAGUAGUGCCCGUACCGCAAACCGACACAGGUAGAUGAGGAGAGAAUCCUAAGGCCGGCGGAAGAAUUGCAGUUAAGGAACUAGGCAAAUUGACCCCGUAAGUUAGCGAGAAGGGGUGCCUGCGAGAGCAGGCCGCAGAGAAUAGACCCAAGCAACUGUUUAGCAAAAACACAGGUCUCUGCUAAAGCGCAAGCUGAUGUAUAGGGGCUGACGCCUGCCCGGUGCUGGAAGGUUAAGGGGAACACUUAGCGCAAGCGAAGGUGUGAACUUAAGCCCCAGUAAACGGCGGCCGUAACGAUAACGGUCCUAAGGUAGCGAAAUUCCUUGUCAGGUAAGUUCUGACCCGCACGAAUGGCGUAAUGACUUGGGCACUGUCUCAACUGCAAAUCCGGCGAAGUUGUAGUGCGAGUGAAGAUGCUCGCUACCCGCGAUUGGACGGAAAGACCCCGUAGAGCCUUACUGUAGCUUAGCAUUGAAUUCCGGUAUUGUCUGUACAGGAUAGGUGGGAGACUGGGAAACUAGGGCGUCAGCCUUGGUGGAGUCGUCCUUGGGAUACCACCCUGACAGUACUGGGGUUCUAACAGGACGCCAUGAAUCUGGUGACUGGACAUUGUUAGGUGGGCAGUUUGACUGGGGCGGUCGCCUCCUAAAAAGUAACGGAGGCGCCCAAAGGUUCCCUCAGAACGGUCGGAAAUCGUUCGUAGAGUGCAAAGGCAGAAGGGAGCCUGACUGCGAGACCUACAAGUCGAGCAGGGACGAAAGUCGGGCUUAGUGAUCCGGUGGUACCUCGUGGGAGGGCCAUCGCUCAACGGAUAAAAGCUACCUCGGGGAUAACAGGCUGAUCUCCCCCAAGAGUCCACAUCGACGGGGAGGUUUGGCACCUCGAUGUCGGCUCGUCGCAUCCUGGGGCUGUAGUAGGUCCCAAGGGUUGGGCUGUUCGCCCACUAAAGCGGCACGCGAGCUGGGUUCAGAACGUCGUGAGACAGUUCGGUCCCUAUCCGUCGCGGGCGUAGGAAAUUUGAGAGGAGCUGUCCUUAGUACGAGAGGACCGGGAUGGACUGACCUCUGGUGCACCAGUUGUUCUGCCAAGAGCAUGGCUGGGUAGCUAAGUCGGGAAGGGAUAAACGCUGAAAGCAUCUAAGCGUGAAGCCUCCCUCAAGAUGAGAUUUCCCAUAGCAUAAGCUAGUAAGACCCCUUGAAGAACACGAGGUUGAUAGGUCAGAGGUGUAAGUGUGGUAACAUAUUUAGCUGACUGAUACUAAUAGGUCGAGGGCUUGACC
This 1331-nucleotide ribosomal RNA is filed under the name metagenome. RNAcentral's name for it is "bacterial LSU rRNA". It matches the Rfam family "Bacterial large subunit ribosomal RNA", at positions 1580 to 2925 of the family's 2925-position model. The record is from RNAcentral.